AACCUUAUGGACCUGCGGGCGUAUACCUGCGGAAGGAUCAUUAUUGAAUAAACUUGGUCAAGCCGUUGCUGGUCCUUCGGGGCAUGUGCACGCUUGCCACCAAUUUUAACCACCUGUGCACCUUUUGUAGAUUGGAAACGUUUCUCGAGGCAACUCGGAUUGAGGACUGCUGUGCGCAAGCCAGCUGUUCUUGUGUUUCUCAAUCUAUGUUUUCAUAUACUCCUAAUGUAUGUAUCAGAA
RNAcentral lists this unclassified non-coding RNA (240 nucleotides) under soil metagenome. Its description in RNAcentral is "partial contains 5.8S ribosomal RNA, internal transcribed spacer 2, and large subunit ribosomal RNA". The record is from RNAcentral.